This is a long non-coding RNA of Paramormyrops kingsleyae, 860 nucleotides long. RefSeq lists it as uncharacterized. NCBI's taxonomy places the organism in Eukaryota, Metazoa, Chordata, Actinopteri, Osteoglossiformes, Mormyridae. The record is from RefSeq and is a predicted model, not a curated record.
UCUGACAAGGUCUAAAGUAUCACACGUCAGGAAGAACGUCUGCUUUUCCCCUGCGGCAGAUAUAGCUUCUAAGAGAGGCCCUGCCUACCUGACAUCUGAAUGUUGGUCAGAGUGUAACAUAUUUAUAUUCUAGAUAUAUGUUGCAUCGAUUCGUGCUGACAUUUUAAACAUAUACAGAAUCUCCCAUAGGCCUACGUUUUUAAAUAUAUAAUUCAUAAGAAAGGGGUACGACUGGAAAUACAGUAUAUAAAUCAGCGGCAAGCCAGCGAUCGGCCUGCAUCGCCUUGGCCUACCUUACCAAUAAAGUAUUUAUGAAAGUUUUUUUCCCGCCCAAACAACAACGAAUUCAUCUGCCCGUAAGUUUGAAAUGCUAAUAACGGGAAGAAGAUCAAUAUCGAUGGUCUCCCUGAAAGCGACCUUUGGCAUCCACGCAAGAGCAUUAUUAAAAACAGCCCUCGAUCAGGAGUCAGAUUGCCAAAAACUAAAAAUCCGGGAUAUAAGAGACGGCCGGAGAGAUGACUGGCGGAGCAAGUGUGAGGAGGGCGAUCUGACUCCCGCCAUACCCCAAAAAACGCCAGACUCUAAAAGUGCCCAUUUUCUCUUAAAAGCCGCGCCUACAGGAAGCUGUCAAGUCUGUCCUCCCCCUGCAAACUCUUGCCGGCGUCCUUCUGUGCUUCCCAGACGGGCAAUACCCAGGACGUCCAGCAGGGGGCACACCCGAGCCAUACAUCAGGCUGUCUGUCCCCGGAGCUGUACGCCAGUCGGACUGCCAAGUGCAGCAAGCUGCUCCAGCUGGGCCGGUUUGCAUUUGGAGGAACAGGAAGGCAACAGGCUGUAACAAUAAACAGCAAAUUAACAUC